This 506-nucleotide ribosomal RNA is filed under the name uncultured bacterium. RNAcentral describes it as "partial 16S ribosomal RNA". It matches the Rfam family "Bacterial small subunit ribosomal RNA", at positions 29 to 523 of the family's 1533-position model. The record is from RNAcentral.
AGUGAACGCUGGCGGUAGGCCUAACACAUGCAAGUCGAACGGCAGCACAGGAGAGCUUGCUCUCUGGGUGGCGAGUGGCGGACGGGUGAGGAAUACAUCGGAAUCUACUCUGUCGUGGGGGAUAACGGAGGGAAACUUACGCUAAUACCGCAUACGACCUACGGGGGAAAGCAGGGGACCUUAGGGCCUUGCGCGAUUGAAUGAGCCGAUGUCGGAUUAGCUAGUUGGCGGGGUAAAGGCCCACCAAGGCGACGAUCCGUAGCUGGUCUGAGAGGAUGAUCAGCCACACUGGAACUGAGACACGGUCCAGACUCCUACGGGAGGCAGCAGUGGGGAAUAUUGGACAAUGGGCGCAAGCCUGAUCCAGCCAUACCGCGUGGGUGUAGAAGGCCCUCGGGUUGUAAAGCCCUUUUGUUGGGAAAGAAAUCCAGCUGGCUAAUACCCGGUUGGGAUGACGGUACCCAAAGAAUAAGCACCGGCUAACUUCGUGCCAGCCGCCGCCGUAA